GAUGAAGAACGUAGCGAAAUGCGAUAAGUAAUGCGAAUUGCAGAAUUUCCGUGAGUCAUCGAAUCUUUGAACGCACAUUGCGCCCACUGGUAUUCCGGUGGGCAUGCCUGCUCGAGCGUCAUUAUCCUCCCUCAAACCCCGGGUUUGGUGUUGGACCGAAGUUGUGUGAACAACUGGUCUAAAAAACAAUGACGGCGUCCGUGGGACCCUCGGUGCAACGAGCUUUUAGGAGCACGCGCCGAGUUGCAAGGACCUUCCGGGCCGGUCUCCUUUUACUAUUUUACAAGGUUGACCUCGGAUCAGGUAGGAAUACCCGCUGAACUUAAGCAUAUCAAUAAGCGGUGGA
RNAcentral lists this unclassified non-coding RNA (346 nucleotides) under soil metagenome. RNAcentral's name for it is "partial contains 5.8S ribosomal RNA, internal transcribed spacer 2, and large subunit ribosomal RNA". The stretch from base 1 to 121 matches the Rfam family "5.8S ribosomal RNA", at positions 35 to 154 of the family's 154-position model. The record is from RNAcentral.